This 77-nucleotide transfer RNA is filed under the name Gemmatimonadetes bacterium 13_1_20CM_4_69_16. RNAcentral describes it as "tRNA-Pro". It matches the Rfam family "tRNA". From Rfam's summary of the family: Transfer RNA (tRNA) molecules are approximately 80 nucleotides in length. Their secondary structure includes four short double-helical elements and three loops (D, anti-codon, and T loops). Further hydrogen bonds mediate the characteristic L-shaped molecular structure. tRNAs have two regions of fundamental functional importance: the anti-codon, which is responsible for specific mRNA codon recognition, and the 3' end, to which the tRNAs corresponding amino acid is attached (by aminoacyl-tRNA synthetases). tRNAs cope with the degeneracy of the genetic code in two manners: having more than one tRNA (with a specific anti-codon) for a particular amino acid; and 'wobble' base-pairing, i.e. permitting non-standard base-pairing at the 3rd anti-codon position. The record is from RNAcentral. Lineage: Bacteria; Pseudomonadati; Gemmatimonadota. RNAcentral also lists the same sequence under 1 other name.
CGGGGCGUAGCGCAGUCCGGUAGCGCGUCUGGUUUGGGACCAGAAGGUCGCCGGUUCGAAUCCGGCCGCCCCGACUA